GAGGACGCCGCUGCUGCCACCAAAGCCGCGGCCUCUGCGUGGCCUACUGGAGGGUAUAACUCGUUUAUCCCGCUCCUGAUUAUUUUCAUAUUAGCAGUACUAGCAGUAUGUGUAGAUUUGUCUACUGUUUGCUUAGUACGUGCAUGUUUAGAUCAGAGUGGGUACGUCAUCAACUUAGUCAAUGCCAUGCUAGUGAUUUACUCAUGGAUUAAUUUAAUCGAGAAAUUGCCUAUUUACUCAACAAUCCAAAAACCUAUUAUGUGUAGGAAUUUCUCGGCAAGUGGCUUUGCCGCUGCACUGAAACCGGAUAAGUUUACUGGUACAUACUUCAAGCGUUGGCAGACUAAGACCACGUUAUGGCUCACGGCUAUGAACGUGUUCUGGGUCACCGGUGUCUCCACGGGAACGAUUGCUCCUGAACAGGAGAAGGCGUUCAAGGAGGCUACCGUUGUGUUUCUCGGAGCAGUUCUUAGCGUGAUCGGAGAUAAACUGGUCGACGCAUAUUUACAUGUGCAUGUCGCCAAGGACUUGUGGGAGGCGCUCGAAUCUAAAUUCGGGGCCGCCGAUGCAGGGAGCGAGAUGUAUAUUAUAGAGCAGUUCCACGAUUACAAGAUGGUUGAAAACCGUCCUGUAUUGGAGCAGGCUCAUGAGAUAAUAUGCAUUGUUAAGGAACUUGAGC
This 679-nucleotide ribosomal RNA is filed under the name Triticum aestivum (bread wheat). RNAcentral's name for it is "partial small subunit ribosomal RNA". Lineage: Eukaryota; Viridiplantae; Streptophyta; Magnoliopsida; Poales; Poaceae. The record is from RNAcentral.